This 465-nucleotide ribosomal RNA is filed under the name uncultured bacterium. RNAcentral describes it as "partial 16S ribosomal RNA". It matches the Rfam family "Bacterial small subunit ribosomal RNA", at positions 338 to 795 of the family's 1533-position model. The record is from RNAcentral.
CCUACGGGAGGCUGCAGUAGGGAAUCUUCCACAAUGGGCGACAGCCUGAUGGAGCAACGCCGCGUGGGUGAAGAAGGUCUUCGGAUCGUACAACCCUGUUGUUAGAGAAGAAAGUGCGUGAGAGUAACUGUUCACGUUUCGACGGUAUCUAACCAGAAAGCCACGGCUAACUACGUGCCAGCAGCCGCGGUAAUACGUAGGUGGCAAGCGUUAUCCGGAUUUAUUGGGCGUAAAGGGAACGCAGGCGGUCUUUUAAGUCUGAUGUGAACGCCUUCGGCUUAACCGGAGUAGUGCAUUGGAAACUGGGAGACUUGAGGGCAGAAGAGGAGAGUGGAACUCCAUGGGUAGCGGUGAAAUGCGUAGAUAUAUGGAAGAACACCAGUGGCGAAAGCGACUCUCUGGUCUGUAACUGACGCUGAGGUUCGAAAGCGUGGGUAGCAAACAGGAUUAGAUACCCGGGUAGUC